UCACGACGCAACGUGGUUAAACAGUACGUUUAUUAAAGUAACUGGGUGAACGACAUCGGAGCGGACUGCAAAUCGCAACGCUACUUUCUCGAGUGCAGAUACUCUUCGAGACGGCUAAACAACGUGUCCAACUCGCUGAGACCUUUCCGCGUGCCGUUAUCCGAUUUCCUUUCCGCCUCCUGAGACAGCCGACUAAUCACGGACUUAUCUCCGCAACCUAACAGAGGCUGGGAGCCCGACAAAAGUAAAACAGCGUGCUAUGAACACGUUGUUACCUCUGCGCGGACAGCGCCGCCACAGAGACACUUACGCAUUGCCGCAUGUCUUUGUAGAUGGAUUCUAGCGUCGAGCGCAUACUAUGCAAUUCCGUCUUAAGUCCAGGAUAGACGUGGUCGCCUGCGGGGAACACGAUCUCCAGAUACCGCCUCAACAACCAGUCCAUGACGCUGCAUCCCCAACAGCCUUUGACCACCGUACCGUCGAGCCACACGGAGUAGUCGUCCUCACGUUGCUACAAGAGGAAAACUACGUCACCCGACACGCGGAAAAGAAAGACCGUCGCAAUAAACCGUACCUACGUGACCUACCAACGUAGGUUUUACUCGAUGAAAGGUGACGCGGAGAUCUUGCAAUCUGGUCGCGUAAUCCUCUGGACGACACUGCGGCUUUGUAUUCUUUAUCGUCGUCGUCGUUGCCGGCUUCGCCUCCUCGGAAGCGCCUAGAAAAAAGACGAUCAGGACCAGAGAGGAAGAGACCAUCACCGACAGCAUCGCCGCAGCAUGCCGCCCCAAUCCGCCGCCCAACUGCGCGUCCCAGGUAGGUGGUCCUUUAUGUCAGCCUUACGAGGAGACACCGCGGACCGGGGAAACGGAUAAGUUUACGAACAAAAAUCUCAAGAGAAAGAUGCUGACCCGAUAAGUACCGUCACGGAGACACGGUGGUUUUUAUUGAAUUUCCAGUGUAUCGAGCCACCGUGAUGCAGGUACGGUGGUUUUAUGUGAAGUGCCGCUAUCUAUAGGCGAUGUGUUCCCUGACGGUGUGUGUUUUUUGGGGAUAGACAACGUGGUUCUUGUACGUGGUUUUUACCCUGCUCAAUAAAGUCACGUUUUCCUUACACGGUGUUGUGUCAAAAAAUAAGCGUGGUG
Molecule: small RNA, 1145 nt
Filed under: Human betaherpesvirus 5
Lineage: Duplodnaviria; Heunggongvirae; Peploviricota; Herviviricetes; Herpesvirales; Orthoherpesviridae
Description: RNA5.0
Source: RNAcentral